Lampris incognitus (smalleye Pacific opah) is the source of this 250-nucleotide long non-coding RNA. RefSeq lists it as uncharacterized. The transcript has 4 exons. The record is from RefSeq and is a predicted model, not a curated record. Lineage: Eukaryota; Metazoa; Chordata; Actinopteri; Lampriformes; Lampridae.
UUCAUCUUAGGUGUUCUAUUUCCAGAGGAGGCUGAGCAGGUCUUCCUCACUGGUCAGCUUUAUCAUCAGAGUGAAGUGGAAGAGUUCACUAGAGGGAUAGAUCGACUGUUGAAGAAAGAAGGAAAACCAUUCAAUUGGAGUCGUAAAUCCUUUUAGGGAUUCUACCAGGCGGGAGUUUCCGUCAAUUGAAGCCAACGCAAAGUGUGACAGAAGCAUCAAAAAUAGUUUGUUUAAUAAAAAGGAUGUUCAC